This 253-nucleotide ribosomal RNA is filed under the name uncultured bacterium. Its description in RNAcentral is "partial 16S ribosomal RNA". It matches the Rfam family "Bacterial small subunit ribosomal RNA", at positions 524 to 776 of the family's 1533-position model. The record is from RNAcentral.
UACGUAGGGUGCGAGCGUUAAUCGGAAUUACUGGGCGUAAAGCGUGCGCAGGCGGUUUUGUAAGCCAGAUGUGAAAGCCCCGGGCUUAACCUGGGAAUGGCAUUUGGGACUGCAAGGCUAGAGUGCGGCAGAGGAGACUGGAAUUCCUGGUGUAGCAGUGAAAUGCGUAGAUAUCAGGAGGAAUACCGAUGGCGAAGGCAGGUCUCUGGGCUGACACUGAUGCUCAUGCACGAAAGCGUGGGGAGCAAACAGG